AGUCGACGGUAACAGGUCUUCGGAUGCUGACGAGUGGCGGACGGGUGAGUAAUGCGUAGGAAUCUGUCUUUGAGUGGGGGACAACCCAGGGAAACUUGGGCUAAUACCGCAUAAGCCCUGAGGGGGAAAGCGGGGGAUCUUCGGACCUCGCGCUGGAAGAGGAGCCUACGUCUGAUUAGCUAGUUGGUAGGGUAAAGGCCUACCAAGGCGACGAUCGGUAGCUGGUCUGAGAGGACGACCAGCCACACUGGGACUGAGACACGGCCCAGACUCCUACGGGAGGCAGCAGUGGGGAAUUUUUCGCAAUGGGGGCAACCCUGACGAAGCAAUGCCGCGUGAAUGAAGAAGGCCUUCGGGUUGUAAAGUUCUUUCGUGGAGGACGAAAAGGUGGGUGCUAAUAUCGCCUGCUGUUGACGUGAAUCCAAGAAGAAGCACCGGCUAACUCCGUGCCAGCAGCCGCGGUAAUAC
This 468-nucleotide ribosomal RNA is filed under the name uncultured Acidithiobacillus sp. RNAcentral's name for it is "bacterial SSU rRNA". It matches the Rfam family "Bacterial small subunit ribosomal RNA", at positions 60 to 526 of the family's 1533-position model. The record is from RNAcentral. Lineage: Bacteria; Pseudomonadati; Pseudomonadota; Acidithiobacillia; Acidithiobacillales; Acidithiobacillaceae.